This 254-nucleotide ribosomal RNA is filed under the name uncultured bacterium. RNAcentral describes it as "partial 16S ribosomal RNA". It matches the Rfam family "Bacterial small subunit ribosomal RNA", at positions 524 to 776 of the family's 1533-position model. The record is from RNAcentral.
UACAGAGGUCUCAAGCGUUGUUCGGAUUCAUUGGGCGUAAAGGGUGCGUAGGCGGUGAGGUAAGUCUGGUGUGAAAUCCCGGGGCUCAACCCCGGAACUGCACUGGAUACUGCUUUCACUAGAGUACUGGAGAGGGAACUGGAAUUUACGGUGUAGCAGUGAAAUGCGUAGAUAUCGUAAGGAAGACCAGCGGCGAAGGCGAGUUCCUGGACAGUAACUGACGCUGAGGCACGAAGGCCAGGGGAGCAAACGGG